RNAcentral lists this ribosomal RNA (253 nucleotides) under uncultured bacterium. RNAcentral's name for it is "partial 16S ribosomal RNA". It matches the Rfam family "Bacterial small subunit ribosomal RNA", at positions 524 to 776 of the family's 1533-position model. The record is from RNAcentral.
AACGGAGGGGGCUAGCGUUGUCCGGAAUUACUGGGCGUAAAGGGCGUGUAGGCGGUAAUGUAAGUCUGAUGUGAAAAUCCUUGGCUCAACCUUGGGAAGUCGUUUGAAACUGUCUGUCUUGAGUGCUGGAGAGGAAAGCGGAAUUCCCGGUGUAGGGGUGAAAUGCGUAGAUAUCGGGAGGAACGCCAGUGGCGAAGGCGGCUUUCUGGACCGUAACUGACGCUGAGGCGCGAAAGCGUGGGGAGCAAACAGG